GCCUACACAUGCAAGUCGAGGGGUAACAGAGGUAGCUUGCUACUUGCUGACGACCGGCGCACGGGUGCGUAACGCGUAUACAAUCUGCCUUGUACUGAGGGAUAGCCCGAAGAAAUUUGGAUUAAUACCUCAUGGUAUUAUUGAUUCGCAUGGAUUAAUAAUUAAAGGUUACGGUACAAGAUGAGUAUGCGUCCUAUUAGCUAGAUGGAGAGGUAACGGCUCCCCAUGGCGACGAUAGGUAGGGGUCCUGAGAGGGAGAUCCCCCACACUGGUACUGAGACACGGACCAGACUCCUACGGGAGGCAGCAGUGAGGAAUAUUGGACAAUGGGCGCAAGCCUGAUCCAGCCAUGCCGCGUGCAGGAAGACGGCCCUAUGGGUUGUAAACUGCUUUUAUACGGGAAGAAACCUACCCUCGUGAGGGUAGCUGACGGUACCGUAAGAAUAAGCACCGGCUAACUCCGUGCCAGCAGCCGCGGUAAUACGGAGGGUGCAAGCGUUAUCCGGAAUCAUUGGGUUUAAAGGGUCCGUAGGCGGGUAAAUAAGUCAGUGGUGAAAUGCAGAGGCUCAACUUCGGCACUGCCAUUGAUACUGUUUAUCUUGAAUUAUUGUGAAGUGGUUAGAAUAUGUAGUGUAGCGGUGAAAUGCUUAGAUAUUACAUAGAAUACCGAUUGCGAAAGCAGAUCACUAACAAUAUAUUGACGCUGAUGGACGAAAGCGUGGGUAGCGAACAGGAUUAGAUACCCUGGUAGUCCACGCCGUAAACGAUGGUUACUAGCUGUUUGGAUCGAUUGAGAUCUGAGUGGCCAAGCGAAAGUGAUAAGUAACCCACCUGGGGAGUACGUUCGCAGAUGAACUCAAGGAUUGACGGGGCCGCACAGCGUGGAGCAUGUGGUUUAUUCGAUGAUACGCGAGGACUUACAGGCUAAUGCAGUAUGACAGACUGGAAACAGUUUUUCUCGACAUAUGCAGUGCUGCAUGUGUCGUCAGCUCGUGCGUGAGUGUCAGUAGUCUAUACGAGCGCACCUAUUGCUAGUGCAGCGAGUCAGUCGGACUCUAGCGACUGCGUGCCAACCGUAGGAGGUGGGGAUGAGGUCAAUCUAUCUGGCUUCUUCUGGCUACACUGCUCAAUGGUAGGGACGAGAAGAGACA
Molecule: ribosomal RNA, 1151 nt
Filed under: uncultured bacterium
Lineage: Bacteria
Description: bacterial SSU rRNA
Rfam family: Bacterial small subunit ribosomal RNA
Source: RNAcentral